UUCCGUGUAGCAUUCCAAGGCGAUUUCGUUUACACUCUUGCCGGUGCACAUUCCUCAACGGCCCACGAUUGUAAGUUCCCACCUUUCCGGUCUCCUCCUCUCUUCACCAUUUUCGAUACAAUGGUCAUCUUGGAUUGGGCUUAGUCCAACAAAAUACUGUAAAAAAGAGGAUGAAAUUGAUAAUUUUUUUGAAAGAGAUUAUAAAAAUAGAAAAUAUCUAAGGUUCCACACGCAACGACCAGUGGGGGUCGACGUAGGAGGAAAUGUGCCGGUAGUUAUUCGGCAGUAUCUAAAAUUAUUACACAGUUAAUAAAUAUUAAAUACCCUUGCAUUUUAAAACAAUUACAAUAUUAGAUAACUAAUUGAUGAAACUGGAGGUCUAGGACAGUAAAACGAUCAUAGGGUUUACAGAACACAACUAAGUACAUCGAACUGAGUGACAGAUGAUUUGCAAGUUAGCGUAUCCAUCAGGUUAUAAAAUAUUUAAAUCUUCUCACCUCUAUAACUCUAUUGGGUGAAUGACUGGAUUGGAGCGAUAUUCAUCUCCUGAUUUUACCUCAUUGGUCAACAAUUUUGUCUCAAAUUGUCUGAAAUAUCUGAUACAGA
This 606-nucleotide long non-coding RNA is filed under the name Zostera marina. RNAcentral describes it as "long non-coding RNA (ZMAR_LNC005344)". The record is from RNAcentral. Lineage: Eukaryota; Viridiplantae; Streptophyta; Magnoliopsida; Alismatales; Zosteraceae.